RNAcentral lists this ribosomal RNA (800 nucleotides) under Arthrobacter sp. 001xTSA12A_A02. RNAcentral describes it as "bacterial SSU rRNA". It matches the Rfam family "Bacterial small subunit ribosomal RNA", at positions 66 to 877 of the family's 1533-position model. Lineage: Bacteria; Bacillati; Actinomycetota; Actinomycetes; Micrococcales; Micrococcaceae. The record is from RNAcentral.
ACGAUGAUCCCAGCUUGCUGGGGGAUUAGUGGCGAACGGGUGAGUAACACGUGAGUAACCUGCCCUUAACUCUGGGAUAAGCCUGGGAAACUGGGUCUAAUACCGGAUAUGACUCCUCAUCGCAUGGUGGGGGGUGGAAAGCUUUAUUGUGGUUUUGGAUGGACUCGCGGCCUAUCAGCUUGUUGGUGAGGUAAUGGCUCACCAAGGCGACGACGGGUAGCCGGCCUGAGAGGGUGACCGGCCACACUGGGACUGAAACACGGCCCAGACUCCUACGGGAGGCAGCAGUGGGGAAUAUUGCACAAUGGGCGAAAGCCUGAUGCAGCGACGCCGCGUGAGGGAUGACGGCCUUCGGGUUGUAAACCUCUUUCAGUAGGGAAGAAGCGAAAGUGACGGUACCUGCAGAAGAAGCGCCGGCUAACUACGUGCCAGCAGCCGCGGUAAUACGUAGGGCGCAAGCGUUAUCCGGAAUUAUUGGGCGUAAAGAGCUCGUAGGCGGUUUGUCGCGUCUGCCGUGAAAGUCCGGGGCUCAACUCCGGAUCUGCGGUGGGUACGGGCAGACUAGAGUGAUGUAGGGGAGACUGGAAUUCCUGGUGUAGCGGUGAAAUGCGCAGAUAUCAGGAGGAACACCGAUGGCGAAGGCAGGUCUCUGGGCAUUAACUGACGCUGAGGAGCGAAAGCAUGGGGAGCGAACAGGAUUAGAUACCCUGGUAGUCCAUGCCGUAAACGUUGGGCACUAGGUGUGGGGGACAUUCCACGUUUUCCGCGCCGUAGCUAACGCAUUAAGUGCCCCGCCUGGG